Molecule: transfer RNA, 72 nt
Filed under: Ovis aries (sheep)
Lineage: Eukaryota; Metazoa; Chordata; Mammalia; Artiodactyla; Bovidae
Rfam family: tRNA
About the family: Transfer RNA (tRNA) molecules are approximately 80 nucleotides in length. Their secondary structure includes four short double-helical elements and three loops (D, anti-codon, and T loops).
Source: Rfam by way of RNAcentral
UCCCUGGUGGCUCAGACGGUGAAGCAUUUGUCUGUAAUGCAGGAGACUCAGGUUCAAACCCUGGAUUGGGAA